Biomphalaria glabrata is the source of this 3298-nucleotide long non-coding RNA. RefSeq lists it as uncharacterized. The transcript has 7 exons. The record is from RefSeq and is a predicted model, not a curated record. NCBI's taxonomy places the organism in Eukaryota, Metazoa, Mollusca, Gastropoda, Planorbidae.
AUCUAACAACUAAUUUUAAUUUAUCUUCAUCAGAUAUGGCAUGAGAGAGGCUAUAGUGUUGAUUAUAUAAAUAUGUAGGUCUCAGCUGGGGCUGCACAGCCACGGAAAAUACUGCAUUCCUAACUUAUCUUGGGACUUAUUAUAAAGCUGCCAUUAUCCAAGGACAUAUGAUUCUCUGGAGGCUUACAUCACUGGAAAAAGUCUUUGGGCCCCUGAAGAUUACAGUACAUGUAAUGCUGCAAAAGGAGGAGGAUGCUGGGCCAGGCACAUACAACUCAAUUUACUUCUAUUGGCUGGAAAUAUUUAAAGCAUGACAGUGGCGUAGGUAAAUUACCAAAUAGUGGAUCUUAUGUUGGAUUGAUCAGCCCUGAUGAACUGACCUGACCGUUGUAAUUGAAACCAUAACUCAUGACCACUCUAUCUGUAUAGGUCCUGGUAUACCCUGGGAUGAUGUUCACCCACAACUUUUAACUUGAAAUCUUAAAGGAAGUUUUGCUAAACUAACAAGCAUGAAUGUCUGGUACAGUAAGAUAGGGUUAAUGGUCAACCUGACAUUAUGGUUCAUUCAUUGGGACAGCUAAUUUUUGUGUCUGACCAAGCAGUUCUCAAGUUAGGGCUUGAUGAAGUCUACAAACUGACCACUAUAUCUACUGGACAAAAAUGAUCAUAUUCUGACCCCCUCCCUCCCAACCAUUUUCUCUGCCUUAUCUUGAUGACUUUGAAGGGUACAAAUGCACUUGGAGCUUUUGAUGGUGUUCUGUUCAAUGCAACUAUUCCCACAUCUCCAGCAGCUGGCUUUGCAGCUAUUGGCGCAGACAGCUAUGGCUUGGAUGAUUUUGAUAAUUAUCUGCUUCCGCUCUUCAAAACUCAAACGCACGUUUGCCAUGUUGCAGUUAAUUCCUUGCCACUCUGGUACUGUGUGUGGUACAGAACCACCUUGACAUUUAUUUUUCUAAUUAGACAUUAAGCUUUCCAUGUGCUGAAAUUUAGCAAUGUAGAACAGGAAAUAAAUUGUCUGACAGUUCAAAGUGUGUAUACAUUUUUUUGACGCACCCUGUAAAUAUAUUGUAUUCAGUGAUUUUUUUAUUUUACCAUUUUCUAAUAUUAGUUUGUUAGCUUCAAUAACUAUUAACCUUUUAGAUUGUUAUCUUUCGUAAUGUUAAGACUAGAAAACAAGAAAUUAUAUUUAGGACGAUGAUUACAAUUACUUAGUCAAUUACUUAGAUAAAAUAAUUAUAAAACAAAAGUUAUAUAAAGACAUAAUUAUACAAUGUUUAUGUUUUGUAUGUUCAUAAAAAUGUGUAUAGCAGUGUUAUGGAGUGUGUGUGUGGGUGUUUCCAAGGUAACGUUGAGAAAUUAGCGGUUGGUUGGUGGAUAUGCAGUGAGGAUGGUGAAAUUACAAAAAUGGUCUAGUGUAAUGCAAAUCACCCAGGGAUCUGAAACUGUACAGACAUGUUUUUUGUAGUGAGUUAGAUUUUGUUUAAAAUACCAUUUUAUAUUAUUGCUACUAGAUUUAUUUCAUUUCAUCUAGGUUAGUAUUAGGGUUAGUGUUAUGUUGUAAUAAAAGUUAUAUUUAGUUUUGUUUCAAAAAAGAAGUUUUUUCAAGUUUCACAAUUAAAUAUAUAUAUAUAUAUCCAAGCAGUAGUUCUCACCAAACUUUCAUACACUGGCAGAACUACCUUAAAAAAAUGUUCUGCUGGAGGCUGGUGUGGGUAGUAUAGAAGAAAUGCUUAUCAUUCAACAUCUGUGAUGGGUUGGAAAAUUAUCCCACAUGGGGGGCGACUGCAUGCCAAAUAUAUCUUCAAGGAUGGCGUAACGGGGUGCUCCUGUAAGCACUAUAAAGAUUAACUCAGGCACCUUUUUGCCAUAGAGGAAAGUAGGUUGUAAUAGGGUUUAUGAAAACACUGCACUCAUCUUUUAUCUUCAGCAUCAUUAUUAUUAUUAAACCAUUACUCAAAUUUUGCUUUGUUAUUUUGCCAUGUAGCGAUUUACUGCUGCUGGGGUGAACAAUGCUUAAAAAAAUACAAAUAUGCUGUGUUUUUACUUUGGCCCAGCGGUGGCUCCCACAUUUGUCUUUUGUAUUUUUCUAUACCAGUUCUGUUACUAUGCAAAUGCAAUAAAAAAAAAAUACAAGUUGUUGCACUAUUGAUAUUUUUUAUACUAAUUUUUUAUUUAUAUUAUUAAUUAUUUAUUAUUAUCUAAGCAUCUGUUUGUAUUUGAGCUGGGUAAUGAAUAUAGAUUCUUAAAUUUAAUUGUUGUUUGUUGCUUUCCUCACUUUCAAACUGUGACCAUGUAAAUUUUGUCUAGAUGGAGAAUGGUAAUGUCUUAGUGUUAAUGAUUAGAUUGAGAAUGGUAAUGUCUUAGUGUCAUUGAUAACAGUGAGAAUGGUAAUGUCUUAGUGUCAUUGAUAAGAUUGAGAAUGGUAAUGUCGUAGUGCCAAUGAUAACAGUGAGAAUGGUAAUGUCUUAGUGUCAAUCAUUGCAUUGAGAAUGGUAAUGUCUAGUGUCACUGAUUAGAUUGAGAAUGGUAAUGUCUUAGUGUCAAUGAUAACAGUGAGAAUGGUAAUGUCUUAGUGUCACUGAUUAGAUUGAGAAUGGUAAUGUCUUAGUGUCAAUGAUAACAGUGAGAAUGGUAAUGUCUUAGUGUCAAUGAUAACAGUGAGAAUGGUAAUGUCUUAGUGUUAUUGAUUAGAUUGAGAAUGGUUAUGUCUUAGUGUCAAUGAUUACAUUGAGAAUAGUAAUGUCUUAGUGUCAAUGAUAACACUGAGACAAUCAUUAGAUUGAGGAUGGUAAUGUCUUAGUGUCAAUGAUUACAUUGAGAAUAGUAAUGUCUUAGUGUCAAUGAUAACACUGAGACAAUCAUUAGAUUGAGAAUAGUAAUGUCUUAGUGUCAAUGAUUACAUUGAGAAUAGUAAUGUCUUAGUGUCAAUGAUAACACUGAGACAAUCAUUAGAUUGAGGAUGGUAAUGUCUUAGUGUCAAUGGUGUAACAUUAUGAUUAGAGUGAGAUGCACGAGAUGAUUUCAGUUCACGUGAAAAUGGGUCUUACACAUUGUCAAGCAAAGAGGUACCAUUUUUGAUCACACAACCACGUUUUUUUAGUAAGUUAGCGCCAUGAUGUAUCAAGAGACGUAGGUGUCUCUGUUUUAUGAAAUUGGAUUAAAUAAUAUGAGUACCUAAGUGGACAUUUUUCUAUGGAUGUAGUUUGUAUUUGAUGAGAAAUAAUUCAGGAUGAUAUUGUAUGGCUGAGAUUGCCUACUUUCUGAACUAUUAUUUGAUGUAAUAAAUAUUUGUCUGACA